AACGCACCUUGCGCCCUUUGGCUAUUCCGAAGGGCAUGCCUGUUUGAGCAUCAUAAACAUCUCAACUCUCAUGGUUUCCCGUGAUGAGAUUGGACUUUGGGGGUCUUGUUGGCUUGUGUUCAGCUCCCCUCAAAUCUAUCAGCUUCCCAGUGUUUGGCGGCGUCACAGGUGUGAUAAAUAUCUACGCUUGUGGUUCUUUGCCAGGUCUGUCCUCUCCUUGUGGAGGGCUCGCUGGAGCUUAUAGAUGUCUCUCCUUGGUGGAGACAGCUGUUUGAAGUUUGGUCUCAAAUCAGGUAGGAUUACCCGCUGAACUUAA
RNAcentral lists this unclassified non-coding RNA (316 nucleotides) under Mollisia sp. Its description in RNAcentral is "partial contains 5.8S ribosomal RNA, internal transcribed spacer 2, and large subunit ribosomal RNA". Lineage: Eukaryota; Fungi; Ascomycota; Leotiomycetes; Helotiales; Mollisiaceae. The record is from RNAcentral. RNAcentral also lists the same sequence under 2 other names.